AUCGCUUCUCGGCCUUUUGGCUAAGAUCAAGUGUAGUAUCUGUUCUUAUCAGUUUAAUAUCUGAUAUGUCCUCUAUCUGAGGACUCUAUAUUAAAUGGAUUUUUGGAACUGGGAGAUGGAAUAGGGGCUUGCUCCGUCCACUCCACGCAUCAACCUGGUAUUGCAGUACCUCCAGGAAUGGUGCACCUCCC
Molecule: small nuclear RNA, 191 nt
Filed under: Salvator merianae (Argentine black and white tegu)
Lineage: Eukaryota; Metazoa; Chordata; Lepidosauria; Squamata; Teiidae
Description: U2 spliceosomal RNA (ENSSMRG00000020341.1)
Rfam family: U2 spliceosomal RNA
About the family: U2 is a small nuclear RNA (snRNA) component of the spliceosome (involved in pre-mRNA splicing). Complementary binding between U2 snRNA (in an area lying towards the 5' end but 3' to hairpin I) and the branchpoint sequence (BPS) of the intron results the bulging out of an unpaired adenosine, on the BPS, which initiates a nucleophilic attack at the intronic 5' splice site, thus starting the first of two transesterification reactions that mediate splicing.
Source: Rfam by way of RNAcentral